RNAcentral lists this long non-coding RNA (2904 nucleotides) under Triticum aestivum (bread wheat). RNAcentral's name for it is "long non-coding RNA (TAES_LNC005466)". The record is from RNAcentral. Lineage: Eukaryota; Viridiplantae; Streptophyta; Magnoliopsida; Poales; Poaceae.
UUUUUGACUAAAAUUUGCAUAAACACCAGCCACGUACUGCACAUAUUCUCAGGCAUAGCAGAACUUUGUUCUCAGGCAUUACAUCAAGCAAAUACAUCACAUGUCACCAACAAAUCAACAACAGCGGUACAAUCAUCCAUAGAAGAUGAACUAAAAAGCACACACAAGUGAGACCCUGUUCUUCCAUAGCUUGGUCUACUUCGACUAGAACGGACAACCCCUUUUUUUGCAAAAAAAUCUCCAUUGUUUAUGCACGGGUAGCUUCCUACUUGCACCUUCUAGCUCACCAGCAUCUGCAAGAUGGAAUGGAUAUUAAGAAUAAUGCAAAGAAUAUGUUGGAGAAGAAGUUCUCGGGAGAAGAGGGAGACGUCCAUAUUGUGUCAGAGGUGCGCCAUAGAGGGGAGGACGGGCGGCGCGCAUGGGGGCUAGCGGUGGAUGCCGGCGCUGAUGUGCGGGAGGGAGGAGGGGGGUAGGGCGGUGGUGCGGUACCGAAAGUCGACUGAUGGCGGGCAGCAGUAGGAGGUGGCAGCGUGUGUUGACGGCGGCUGGAUCCGGUCGCGGGGGCAGCACGGCGGCCGGAUCCAAGGGCGGCGCAGCGACCGGACCCAGGAUCGGGUGGCACAAGGGGUGGAUCCAUGCGAGGAGGGCGGUGCGUGCGCGGAGAUAGAAGGCAGCAGGCGGCCGCCGUAGCGGAGGGUGGAGCGGGAGGUAGCGUGGCAACCGACUGCGUUCGUGUGCUCCAGGGUGGGGGUGGCCGGCGGCGGGAGGUGCGCCCGCACCAGGGGGCGGCGGCGGUCAUGGAGGGGGCGGGGAAGGAGGGGAUCGGGUGGGGAUGGGCUGCUGGGGGUCGUGGAGGUAGUGGUCGGGGGUGGGUGGAUAUCAUUUUUUUCUUUUCUCCACUCUUGUGCCUGUAUAGGAGCCAACCGAUGUUUCCGAGAUCCAGAAAAAAGGAAAACAGAGCGACAGACCGGCCCGUCCCGAUCCCCUUUCGCCGUCGUCCUCCCCCGCAACCCCGCCGCCACCCUCCUGCCGUGGCUCGCAUGCAGCGCCGCCGACAUCCUCCCGCGGACCCUCCCGUCCGGCGAUGCGGGACGCAAGGGAGGUCGGAGCCACCGUCCCCAAGCGCGGUCGCUGGGGUUCGAUUCGCGUCGCCGCCGACCCCGCGCGCUCCCACAACCCACCUCCGAGCCCUGCCCCGACCACAACCUUCCUGCGCCCCGCGCCCGUCGCUACUGCCACGCGCCCUGCGCUCCCUUUUAUUUGGCCGGGGUCGCUGCUUCCUUCAUCUGCGCCAUGCCGGAGCGUAUACGCCGACCUUCCGCCAUCAAGCUCAAUAAGUGAGGGCCGCGAGCAAAAAAGAGGAGCUACCUGCCAUCACUGACGUUGCACAGCUCCGGCCAACAGCACGCAUCCGCUGUCGACCUUCUCGCGGCAGUCACCUUGACCUUCUUGACGUAGCAUCUUGCUAGCAACAACUACCCAGCAACACAUCCCGCACGAGGUCAGCACGCUGUCCACCACUAGUGGAGCGCCACUCGUGCCACCGACCAACUCACCUUCGUCGAUGUUGGCCAAACCAGGCACCUGCCCGCUCUAUGUUGGCUGCCCUACGGAUGGCUGUUUCUCGCAAGGGUCCAUGCGCUGGCCUGGCCAUGGCCUGCGGGGGCACCUGAACCUGAACUUCAGUAGUGCCUCUCCGACAUCGUCGUUGAGUGCCAUUGUCGGCCAGCGAGUAGCCACACCCGUGCUCCCAAUUUCUAGGGACUUCUCCAUCACUCUACUUUCCCUAUUGGGUGCUUGGAAUGGAACGAACUAGAUUUGGGGGAAAAGCAAUCACUGUUCAACUUUCCCCAAGCAUGCUUCAGUUAAAGCAAAAAGCUACAGGAAAGUUCAGAGUCGGGAUUAGUUUGACUUCAAGUUACCUCCUUGGUUUAAUUAGCCAUACUUGGACUGCUAGUCUCUAUUGAGAUUGUUCCAUUUGUGUGCUUCAACCCAGCAACUGAUGCAUCUCCUGCGACCGGCUAGUCCCCUGGUCCCUGCUUCUUCAGAGAUAAUUUGCGUACACGUUUUGUGGAAGCUAUGCACUAUGGAUCUGUACACAAACGUAUACUAUUGCGCUGCCACUCCUCAGUCUCCCAAAUCACAAAAUAAAGCAGACGUUCGGGUUCUAUCGAGCUACAAGUUCAGAGUUUCUCCCUUCUGAAUAAUUCAGAUUUCUGCACCUGCAUAAGCCGGGUAGUAAUUUCCCUUAUACAAGUAUGAUGUCCAGCUUAGUUGCAAAACAUUAGCUUUUUUGUUUUUAUUGUCGUAUACUUCUGCUACCUGAGAUAUGGAUAACACUAGGUAAGCUGUCAACUUCUGCAUAUGCACUAUGCUUUGGAAGCUUCAGUAUACAGUGGAGAGAACUCUAGAGAGAGACAGAUGGCAUUGUGUGAUGAGGAUAGGGUGAGAGAGUACUAAUGAAAAGAGUGGUGGAGACGUCUACUUCAAUUUGACCACUAGUUAGUGCCUUUUUAUAAGUACGCAAGAAAGCUACAUACGUUUCUAACAAUUUGAGUGUGCCCUCUACCUGUUUGUUUUAAUGCUUGGGGGAGCUUAUUCUAGUAUUAUUUGUGGAAAAGAACGUACAACAGAAGUGCCGUUCUAGGUGAAGUUUUUUCUAAUUUUACAUAUGACCAUUGCGAACAUAACUUCUAGGUUGGUAUUCCAGGAAUUUUACAUUUGUCUGCCUUGGUAAUUUCUUUCCUAUAAAUGUCUGCACAGGGUCACAGGGAGCAGACUGACAGUAUAAUUACUAGAUAUAAAUGUGAAGUUCAUGUUUUAGAAAUUCAUAAGUUCACGUGUACCACAUACUGAAGAAAUUCGUCAAUGGAAAAAAAGGACUUCCUAGACCAUUUCACCGAC